Long non-coding RNA from Nothoprocta perdicaria, 537 nucleotides. RefSeq lists it as uncharacterized. The transcript is spliced from 3 exons. NCBI's taxonomy places the organism in Eukaryota, Metazoa, Chordata, Aves, Tinamiformes, Tinamidae. The record is from RefSeq and is a predicted model, not a curated record.
ACGGUUAGACACAGCAGUGGCUUCGUGAGGGCAGUUGGACCUCGGGGUCUUAUUGAGAGGGGAAACGCCUGUCAAAGGGGCCCCUCUACCCAAUUAUUUUUAUAAAGGUGAUUUCCUUUGUUCUCAAGUCGCUGCGGCUGUCUGAGAGCACAGUGUUUUUGAAGACUGACUCCUUGGAAGUCUUUCCCAAAGGCAGAAUGAGACAAGUCAGAUUUUUAAUGAGAAUCCAGGAUGUAUCACUGAAGGAUUUACAAGUAACUUUCUGACCAAGGCAGGCUCUGACACAUUGACUUUCCAGUGCCUGUGCCAAUUGUCAGCAAGACCUGGAUGAUCAGAAUUAAUGUUCAUUGGAUAUGCAGAUGUGUGUACRAAGACUUCAGUUCACUUGGAAUAAAACUGAGCAAUCCUCAAACAACAUGACACUUGCAGUUCUUUGGACUCUACAUGGGACCAAAAGCUGCUAAAUGUCUUUCUCAGAAGUGUUAUUUUUUUUCUGCAGGAGAAAAUAAUAUUAAACCAUGGACUUUUCUUUUAGCA